RNAcentral lists this ribosomal RNA (166 nucleotides) under uncultured bacterium. RNAcentral describes it as "partial 16S ribosomal RNA". It matches the Rfam family "Bacterial small subunit ribosomal RNA", at positions 355 to 509 of the family's 1533-position model. The record is from RNAcentral.
UAGGGAAUUUUCGUCAAUGGGCGCAAGCCUGAACGAGCAAUGCCGCGUGAACGAGGAAGGUCUUCGGAUCGUAAAGUUCUGUUUGAAGGGGGAAAAAAGAGCGGAGAGAGGAAAUGAACUUCCGAUUGAUAUUACCCUUCGAGGAAGUCACGGCUAACUACGUGCC